GCCGCUAAUUUCUCUGUUUAUUUUUUAAAGUUGGAACCGGCGAAGCGUGGAAUUGGGCGGGGAAAUUGUUUUCGAAGUCGUCAUGUUCCUUCUCGCGUUGUCGACGGCGGUGGUUUCGGCCGAAGGUUAUCAGCAUGGACCAGAAUGCAGCAUGGCCACUCACAGCUUGCGUGGCCUAUCAGUUACGGUUAAAGAUAUUAUGCUGGGAUUUUUAUUUUGCGUGAGAGGCCAAUAGGACAGUUGGAUGGGGUAGGCUAGGUCGUUGUUUUUUACAGUUGGAUUACAGAGUGAAUUGCUGUUAUGAAAGAAUGGAAUUUAGCUUUCACCUGCUACAUUCUGACAGUGCUAACAGUUUCGGAGCGAUUGUCCGUUGUCGGUAAGUGAUUGCUAGCAGUGGAUUCAAAUAAUAUUAUCGAAAUGAGCAUGAACUGCAGUAUAACACAACUGGCUACUGAGCCAAGUUAGGUCUGCCGGCCUAAGCUACCGGUAGGCCUACUGUCUGACUGUUAAGUUAACUUUAUGUCUGAAGUAGGCUACAUGCUGUUAUCUCAAGUUACAGACACACAGGCCUACAACUUGAUGACUGCAGUCUACUGGGUCUAUAAAACAGUACAACUAGCCUAUGUCAGUCUGCCAUCUAUUUCCUUCUUAAACAGUUACCGACAACUCAUUGCAGUGUUAAAUUGGUACUUUUAUCACACUGCUUGCACAGCUAUAGACCUGGUAUAUACCGGUAUACUGGUAUUUGUUUUAGGCCCUUUUGAGCCUCAUAAUGAAUUUUUAUGUGUGUCCAAUGGAAGGUUGUGAAUGAAAGAUGAGGGGGACAGAUGAACUAUCACUUCAUUUACGUCACCAACAUGAUCUGUCAAAGAAGAAAUAUAUAAAUAUUACUUGUUCUCAAAAUCAAUGUUGCACAACCUUUACUCGACUUGACAAUUUUUUACGGCAUGUGAAAAAAAUCCACCAACUAGUAUUAGAAUUUCGACGUGUGUCGAGGAAUUUCCAAAGCUGAAGUUGAAGUUGAAGGGAACAACCGGAUAUGGCCAUUAUUAUGAUCCUCUUCGUGGUUCCGGCUUUAUAGAAAACAAGCUCAAAACUUUACGAAAACAAAUGGCAAUAGAAGAUAAGAUGUAUAAAAACAAAAGAGAAGCCACUCAACAUAUGCAAGUAGUUUCAGUUUUGGGAGUAGCGAAGAUGCUGACACCAGUGGGAGUACUGUUGAACUGGAUGCCUCACUUCUGGAAGACGAUAGCCAUAUACUGAAAAAGAUUAAAUGGCUGAAAGAAACCACACCUAACAAGGACAAUAAGGCAGAAAUAUAUAAUGAAGGAAAGUCAUGACUAUCGUAGGCUUGAAAUACAGCUGAAGCCUAUGACCUUAACUGACAUUUUAGAAAAGUACUCAAGGUUCUGUGAUGCUUAUGAGGGUGGAUUGAUGGACUAAAGAGUCUUCUAGUUCUAUCGAAGAUUUUUCCACCUCUCAACACAAAGGGGAAGUCUGAUACUGGCCGAAAUCUGAUCCUGAGGAAUUCUUCUUAAUUCUUGACAAGAAAGCGGUGCCAGUUGGAAAUUCAUCAUUGUUGGCUUUUUAUAGACUGUUCGCUUCGUUUUGGAUAUUUGGAAUUGAGUACUAUGAAAAACUGGCAACUUUCUUCAAUUUUUUUGAAGCUAUUCUUUUCGGCAUGGAUCCCAAACCUUCAGUGGCCUCAUUGUUGGCUGCAUUGGACUUUGUGUAAAAAAAAAAAUGAUCCUACAUAGACGGCUCAAAAUGAAAAUGUGCUUAUGCCGACCUUCGUAAUUUUUAAGUGUCCACUUUGUUUAUUUUGUUUUUAUACUGAUUUGGCCCUAUGAUAAACCAUCAUGUCAGAGUACGAAUUGAUGGUUUAUACACUUUAUAAAAAAUCGAUAUGUAUACACGAAUUAUGCAGUGUCUCUUUUUAGCGUUCAAAAAUGCAGAUUUUAUAGCCCGAUGUUCAUCUCAAAAUGAGAUUUUUUUUUGGAAUUUUCAAAAGCGAUUGUCUCAUAUCGCCAAAAUUUGACAUAGGCCACUACAGUUUUGAGUCGUCGAUGUGAGCAAACACUGGGGUCAUAAUUUUCAUUAUGAUUUCUUUCUGUGAAAUUUAUUUCAUUUUCUUUUGUUCAUUGGUGAUUGUGGUUUAGUCUGCAUCUUCGGUGAGUGUUUUUGAAGUUCUUUUCCAAGAAAAAUUUGGUAUAUUUAAUUUCUGCUUUUUUGGGUAAAUGCAUGGGUAACUUAAGAAAGUUGAAGUGGGGCUGUGGGAAUUGGAGAGGAAACCAAGAACUCACUUUUUGGUGACUCUAUCGAGUUGGAAACUUGACUCAAAAAAGAAUUAUCGCAAUUGAUCUUGACGACUCUAUCAAGAGAUAAAUUUGACUCAAAGAGGAGUCAUCGCACAUGACUCUUGACGACUCUAUCAAGCGAUAAAUUUGACUCAAAGAGAAGUCAUCGCACAUGACUCUUGACGACUCUAUCAAGGGAUAAACUUGACUCAAAGAGGAGUCAUCGCACAUGACUCUUGACGACUCUAUCAAGGUAUAAAUUUGACUCAAAGAAGAGUUAAUGUGCGUGACUCAAGUAAAG
Molecule: non-coding RNA, 2598 nt
Organism: Styela clava
Lineage: Eukaryota; Metazoa; Chordata; Ascidiacea; Stolidobranchia; Styelidae
Source: RefSeq, a predicted model, not a curated record